AAGGGUAUAGCUCAAGUGGUAGAGUGCUUGCUUAGCAUCCACAGGGUCCUGGGUUCAAUCCCUAGUACCUUCU
RNAcentral lists this transfer RNA (73 nucleotides) under Camelus bactrianus (Bactrian camel). It matches the Rfam family "tRNA". Rfam says of the family: Transfer RNA (tRNA) molecules are approximately 80 nucleotides in length. The record is from Rfam by way of RNAcentral. Lineage: Eukaryota; Metazoa; Chordata; Mammalia; Artiodactyla; Camelidae. RNAcentral also lists the same sequence under 2 other names.